Molecule: non-coding RNA, 94 nt
Filed under: unclassified sequences
Source: RNAcentral
CUCGCCGCCGGGGCCGACAUCGACGCCGCGAUGGCCGUCGACGCCGCGCUCCGGGACGAGACGACAUGUGGCCGCCUCGCGGCUGAAUCGCAAC